RNAcentral lists this long non-coding RNA (4543 nucleotides) under Nicotiana benthamiana. Its description in RNAcentral is "long non-coding RNA (NBEN_LNC031032)". Lineage: Eukaryota; Viridiplantae; Streptophyta; Magnoliopsida; Solanales; Solanaceae. The record is from RNAcentral.
AAUCCCCUUUGUCUUCUUCCCCGACUAGAACGAGCCCUUCCUAUUUUUUUACUUCAACUAAUUUCUCGUCCACCAACCCCAUUAUCGUCUUUGAAAGAAAAAAAAUUAUGGGCCCCACCCGUCACACAAAACGUUAAGAACGUAGGUCUCACAUCGUAGUAAAGCAUCGUAUUAUUGUGGUUUCACUUUUUCGGACUCAAAUUUUCACACAAAAUAGUACAUCGAGGUAUUUCGAUUUAUUUUAUGUCGAAACUUGUAUAAUAAUGCAUAAUAGUUGAUUGAAUGUGUUUCCGUGUCGUUUUGUGUUUUAUUUGCGAAACUAAUUGUUAUAUUUAUCCGGACUUAGAUAUUAAUGUUCUAAAAAUAAUGUAAAAUUGAGAAAUAAAUUUUUUUAAUAUCAGGAUUUAGAUAUUAGUAUUUCCGCAUCGUUUUGUGUUUUGUUUGCGAAACUAUUGUGUUAUAUGUAUUUUGUGAAUGUUAUUGAUUAAAAUGCAUUUGUUGUUUAUAUUUUAUUUAGAUUAUUUAUCAGCAUAGUAAAAUAUAGAACCUUUUAACAUAAUAAACUGUAGAGUAUUUUAGCAUAGAAUCCCUGUAGUUUAAGUAUUUCUUAUACUGGUAAAUGAAAAUAUAUACUUUGUACAAUUAAAUAAUUAAAAAUUAAGAAUGCAAAUUAAAAAACAAACACACACACAAUUAUUCAUGAUAGUUUGGUACUACUAGACCUAAAAUAUUGAGCCUGGAACCCAAUAGGUAUAUACAUAUACUUUGUACAUUAAAAAUUUAAAUUAUAAAUAAACACACACAAAAAUAUCAAAUAUUAAAUUUGACACACAUAAAUAUUCAUGAUAGUUUGGUGCUACUUGGCCUCAAAUAUCGAGUCUAGAACCCAAUAGGUAUAUAUACUUUGUACAAUUACAUAUUAAAAAUUAAGAAUUUAAAUUAUAAAAGAAACACACACAAAAUUAUCAAAAUAUUCAAAUUGACACACAUAAUUAUUCAUGAUAGUUUGGUGCUACUGGCCCUCAAAUAUCGAGCCUAGAACCCAAUACGUAUAUAUACUUUGUACACUUAAUAAUUAAAAGUUAAGAAUUUAAAUUACAAAACAAACACACAGAAUUAUCAAAAUAUUGAAUUUGACACACAUAAAUAUUCAUGAUAGUUUGGUGCUACUGGGCCUCAACUAUCGAGCCUGAAACCCAACAGGCAUAUAUACUUUGUAGAAUUACACAUUAAACAUAUAAUUAAUAUUGUUUAAUUUAUAGUUGACGACAUGGACGCGCAGCCUAUACAUCUCAGCCCUUACUCUCGUGAGUUAUUAGUGCUACAGAGCGAUCAUAGGUCCACCCAUUGUCGCACCUCGUUUUUCCUAUCAAAGUGACAAUCGAAAACGGGAUUAUUUAUUAAAAUCAAAGUCGCCACUUGGGAUAGUUUAUGGUGUCCCAAGUUACCGGGUUAAAAUCCCGAAUCGAGGAAGAUGACUCUAAUUACGAUCUGCGGAUAUAGAAAUCAAGGUAAGAAACUAUGUUAACCCAAAAGAAGGUGUUAGGCACUCCCGAGUUCUGUGGUCUAACACAGUCGCUUUGAUCAUACUUGGCUUAAUCAAAUUGUUUAAUUACUGAUCUUAGAACCUAUGUGAAUUUACCCUUUAAUACUUUUUAAAUUAAGAAAAUUAUCUUGAAACGGGUCACGCGUACGUGCACCCACUUAUUUGGCACGACAAAAAUCAUGUCACGCGAACGUGUUCACAAUUAAUAGCGUUUUAUUAUUAUUAAGAAACGUUUGACCACAGUUGCGCAAAUGCAUACUCCGAGUUUGUUUUUAAAAUAGUAAUCAUGUCAUGCGACCGUGUCCGCGACCACAAUAAUAUAUUAAACGUACCUAAAGCAAACUACGAGCAUUUAUUAUUUGUAAUAUCUAAAUUAAGAAAUUAAUACGAGGGCCAUGUACGAUUAACUUUUGGAUGGCGCACCUCGAACUAUAAAAUCCUAAAUCAAUUAGCCACCUAUUAAACCAAUUAUUAUUAAGCAAAAUUUGAUUGAGGUUAUGCGAACGUAUACUCCGAAUUGAUUUUUAAAAUUGUAAUUGUGUCAUGCGAACGCGUACACAAUCACAAUUUUAUUUUAGAAGGCCCUAAAGGCUUUUCUACGAAUGUUCAUCUUUAAUGUCUAAUUAGUAGUUGUGAGGGUCAUAGGUUAAUUUUGACGGCACACCUCAGUCUAAUGACAAGAAUUACUUUAACCAAGGUGAUUUAAGGCCAUAUUUACGCAAUUACUAAAAAGAAAGGGGUUGCGCUGGACUUUCAAGUAUUUGGGCCACGCCUGUUAUAGACAAAGUUAGCAACAACAGUUAAAUGUGGAUCUGGGUUCGAAAGUGGGCUCGAAAGCAAUCCCUAAAACGAUAAGUCAUACAACUCCCAUUUCCAAGUGGCCCCAACGUCCAAGCCCAAAGUAAACCCAAAUCAGGCAAAAGGAUGAAUGCUAAAGGAUAUGGGACUCAAGAUCGAGUCCCUACAGAAACAAGGAAACAUUUGAAGCCAAAGGAAUCCAGCUGAACCCCUUGACUAUGAACUGGCUCGAGUGUUCAAAUACCAUUAAACUAAAUCAAUUUCAACAGAGUAAGCAAGAAAUGUGCAUUAUCUAAUUUAGACGCAAACAUGUAGAAAAUUAAAACACUACAUAAUUAAUGAACCAUAUACCCCUUUGCUUGAACAUUGAAAUUACUGCCAACUGCUAUUGAGUUCAUACAUAGUAAUUUUAACAGUGAAAACUCUAGACAUUAAGCAUACAGUGACCCAAUAGCCCUUGAGUUCAUUCAAUUUUUCUUAAAACAAAACUUAAAUUAUAAACAUCAAAAUCGUUAGUAGAGGUUAACUUGGAACUUAACAUCACUGAGAUUGAACUAAUUCAAUCAAAAUCUAAAAGUAGUGUUACUUAUCCAAAUCGAAUCUACACUAUGAUAGUACAAAUAUCCAAGGACUCAGCAGAAAUAGUUUAAACUAGGCUGAAACCAAAAUAACACAUGAAAGUCCAAUAUAACCCCAAUACAAAUUGUAAUGUCUAUGGCAUGAAUAAAUACAAUGAAUCAAGUAAUAGAACAUAAUUUAAUAUAGAACAAGUAUAAUUUUUCAAUAACACAACUUGAUAUUCAGCUAACUAAAGUUUACAUCUCCCAUCAUGCUUCAGAUUCAAGCUUCACACAUCAAUAAAGUCCAAAGAUGUAUUUGGAUAUCAAAGUAAACCAAAAGAAAAUGAAGAUUUCAGCAGUAGCAGCUGAUCGAAUGAAUCAGCAGGCCAAACACAGCAAGGUUCAAGCUCCCUUAGACCAUUUGUGACCCAGACAACAGAAAUUCUUUAAAAUUUUGGAAAUUCUGACUAACUAUGAAGAUCAAGAGCAAGACCAAAGCAAAUUUCAACCAAAAAAAUACAGAAAAUGUUCAGUAUUUUUAGAGUAUCAAAACUUGCCUGAAAAAUGAAUGAAAGAGGUCCUUAAAUAAGUAGCCUAAGGCAGACCUAGUACAACUAACCAAUUCCCUUUCUACCCUUUCUUUCUUGGUUAUUUUACCCAUUUUAUCCCUUUAAAAAUAUUUGAAACCCUUGCCCUUAACAAACCAGCUCUCAUCUUAUACUCUAGAACCUUCUAUGCUAAUAGAAAAUGAUUCCCUCAAGCCUCAAAUCCCUAAAUUGGCCCUUGACACCCUGUAUUUACCUUCAGAGUGCCAAGUUGGGUCAUGUUAAUCCAAGACCCCAAAUGAACGGGUCUCUUAACUGGGUCAGUGAUGACCAAAGUUAAUACAAGAGACCAAACCAUCACAAAUGAUGAAACAAAGAAGCUCAGAUUCAGAAGAAAAAAAAAAGAUAAACAAUAUUUCAGAACUUUACGAUUAAACCUGACUUAACUACUUAACUAAAAUGAAAUUCACCAUUAAAGAAGACAAGACAAAAUAAUGAAGCAAAUAAAAAAGAAGACCAGGAAAAUGUUGUAAUGAACAGGGUCAUGAGAAAAAAAACGGAAAAGUACCAAUUAUGCCGAAAUGACUUGACCAUUUGAGACGACUCGAUAAGCAGUGAAGGGAGUCGAGGAUUGGUCAUAAUCCAAUGAGUUUGCCAAAAUCUAUCGUACUCGGAAUGAGCUAAAACCAACGCCAAUCGAUUGCUCAUGUUAAGAUCAAUCGACUAAUGUAAGUUAUAGGUCAAAGCAAGCCGGAACUCCCCGCGAAUUUAGAAAAAUAGAAUAACCUAGGGUUUGAACUUCCUAGAUUUGGAAUUAGGGAAAUUGUGAUGGGAUUUUUGGGAAAUAGGUGUUGGGGAUAGGAUUUAGAAGGGCCUGAGGGUGCAUGGUACGAAUUUGGGAUGGUUUGGAGCCGCCGCCGGCGGAUGGCUUGGGAAUUCCAAGGAGGCGGGUUUAGGAUUCAUAAAGAAGCUCUGAGUGAGAAGAUGAAUGAGGGGGCGAUUUGGGGAGGUAGGGUUACUUCCGACAUUUAAAUAUAAGUGAUCUCCCAGUUCUUAGCCGUUCGAUGAGUAAAAAUCAAUAGUUGGGAUAAAAA